Molecule: unclassified non-coding RNA, 302 nt
Filed under: Hevea brasiliensis (rubber tree)
Lineage: Eukaryota; Viridiplantae; Streptophyta; Magnoliopsida; Malpighiales; Euphorbiaceae
Source: RNAcentral
UAGCUCCCAUGAAGUUUUGUUUCCCUAAUCUGUUGGGUUUGAUCCUUAAAUGCUUUCGAAUCUCUUCUAUCAGGAAGAAAUCAGCAGGCUCAUCUGAUCUUUGCUUUAUCUUUGCUUUUGCCUUAGUAAAGGAUGGAGGGCUCCAAUUUCAGUGUUUUGCUAAGGGGCUCCUUCAUCUGAAGGCGAAGAUGCCUGUAACGACUAAAUGUGCCCCUUAGCAAAACACUGAAAUUGGAGCNNNAAAAAAGAGUAGCUGAUGAAGCCAUUCGCAAAUCUUUUAUCUCUAUAAUUUAUUUCUGGAC